GUGAAGAUCCCGGAGUGUGGGACUUUUCUCUGCAGAGUGCGGGAGUUGUAGCCGACUUUACGCGGUUCCCGCUCCAAGCCCAAGAUGCCGCGCCUACUGAGAGGAACGUACUAUAGUCAGAAGUGUGGGACAGGAAGAACGUUAAGGACCUUUGCUCUGUGCUAGGGGCCUCCAAGGUUAAAUAUGAUGUGAUUUGUGUGCUUGGGGCCAGGGGACAGUGUAAAAGUAUACGGAGGUCCAACUUUUAAGUCCAUGAGCAGUGCCUUGCUUUAUGAAAUGGAUGGAUUCUAACGAAGGUCGUAUAGUUUUAAAGCUGGCGGUGAACGCAUUAUAUUCCCCAACUCCCACCCCACCCAUUCCUUCAGUAAAUGCACCAGCAAGAUAACAGUAUAAUUAAGAGUCCUGAAAAAAAAAAAAGUCCUGAGCCAAAUCUGGGGAUAAAAUAGGAGGCCCCUAGCCUUACGACCUGGAAGGGUACCCUGUGCAUGUAAAUCAACUUAAAGAUUUUUUGCAUAUUAUAUAUGUAAAUUUGGGUUACAAGUUCCCAAGUUACCCAAAGGUUUCGACUCAUAAACAUAACUUUUAAAUCAGUACUGUGAUAUGCCAUCUCAGUUUGUAAAAACACUAAUUGAUAGUCAAGUUAUGUAUGUAUUUUCAAACACAAUUCAGAGCAGCUUUCUCAGCAAAGUUUUGCCCGUUCAGUAUCUGUUGGAGCAAUCGGAGUUAUGUGGGAAGCCGAAAACGGGCUUCAAGUACAGACAAUUCUGCAACGCCCUCUUCACCUAGCUGUAUUGUAAGCAUUCCCAGGUGAAAGCUCAGAAGUUUUUUCCGGAAGCCCGACAAGGAGCUCCUUGAAAGCAGGAACUGUGCGACCUUCUCCUGUAGCGGAAGCACCUACCCAGUGCCAAGCACACGACCUUGCUCAACUUCAGUCCAUGAAGCUGCUUGCUGUGCAUGCCAGUUUGCCAUCCAGGAACUACCAGGAGGUAGAGAUCAAUUAACACAGGUGGAGCAAUGGCUUAUGGAAUGACAAAGUUUGGGACUCACUCACUUAACUGAAGAUACCCCAGCCUAGAAGAAGGACCAGGAGAAAAGGCAAUGGCCCCAAAGGUGCAGAAAGCCCAAAGAAAGCUUCCAAGUGCUGUUCUUGCCUUCCUUUUCUUUUGAUCCUCUCUCCCCAUAGGGUGGCUUUUUUUUUUUUUUUUUGAAGCACACUUUUCCAAGUUGUUACAUUAACAAAUUUGCACUGAUUUCUUUAUCCUUGUCAUCUAAAGACCACCUUGUUGGCGGAUGGUGAACUUUUCCUUUAUGCCAGGCCUGCUGCACUGUCUAAUGUCACAAGUGUCUGCUCACAUUAGCUCCCGGAGACUGGAGAAGAUUCUGCAUAGUGCCUUUCCAGCAAGUUGACUUGACAGAAUGAGUCCCCAUGCUAGCUCAUGGCACUUAUCCGUUAGUCAGCUUUCUUCGGGGAGGAGAAUUUAGAGUGCACCAUAUUCAGUUUCCAAAUCAACUGCUGUCCCCUCAGGAAGCUGUGUGUUGCAUUAUUAAAAGAGAUGCCUUCAACUACAGCACCAUACUUAAACAUUCAUCCACAUUAAAAAAAAAAAAAAAAAAAGAAGCAGGAAUGAGGCAGGCAGCACCACAAUUCCCCACACUCUUCACUGUUAACUCUUUCUCCCCAGGUUUCAAGUCUCCCUCUCUGAACAGUCCUGUAACUUUUAUUGAUGAGCAUGAACAGUGUGAUUUUGUGACUGUUACCUUUACGUAAAGUGGGGUGUUUUUGCAUUACUUAGGCUGGCUAUACUCCCUGAGCUCCAAUAGCAAAGUUGAAUCCAAAAAUCUAGCUGCCGGAAACAGCAACAACUUUGACUUAUCUGUUACCUACCUCUCCCAGGAGUUCAAAUGAAAAGCAGGAAUUAGUUCUGAGUUGAAGAUGAACAGAUUCGAAGCUCACACUUUCAUAAUUAUAACUUCAGAUAUUUCUAAUUUUUUAAAACAACAAAAUCUGUGGCCAGUUUAUCUUUAUCAUUCCAAAAGAGAAAUCGACAAGAUUGCUGGAGCAAAGGAGGGAUCCUUUUUAAAGCUUCAUGUUGAUAUAAAUAUGAAAAUGGAUUAAACUCUGCUUCUAAUUUCCAAACUUGUGUACUUCAAUGAAUAUUAAAUGGCAGGACCCUAUCAUCAUCAUGACUUAUAUACUCACCAGAGUUUUUUUAUCAAAAAGGGACUGGAAUUGCCUGUGGAGCCUGAAAGUCUCCUGUAAUUGAGUUUAGAGUGGUAAAUCCACUAACCAGGCCAC
Molecule: long non-coding RNA, 2296 nt
Organism: Mesoplodon densirostris (Blainville's beaked whale)
Lineage: Eukaryota; Metazoa; Chordata; Mammalia; Artiodactyla; Ziphiidae
Exons: 3
Source: RefSeq, a predicted model, not a curated record